This 502-nucleotide ribosomal RNA is filed under the name uncultured bacterium. RNAcentral describes it as "partial 16S ribosomal RNA". It matches the Rfam family "Bacterial small subunit ribosomal RNA", at positions 28 to 507 of the family's 1533-position model. The record is from RNAcentral.
GAUGAACGCUGGCGGCGUGCCUAACACAUGCAAGUCGAGCGGCAGCGGGUUUUACACUGAGUUCUGGAGGCUGCAAGGUGUAAGAGAAGAUUUAUUCAAGAAUUAUGUGUAAAAUGUCGGCGAGCGGCGGACGGCUGAGUAACGCGUGGGAACGUACCCCACAGCGAGGGAUAGCGCAUCGAAAGGUGUGCUAGUACGGCAUAUGGUCUUCGGAUAAAGGCCUUCGGGCGCUAUGGGAGCGGCCUGCGUAAGAUUAGAUAGUGGGUGGGGUAAUGGCCUACCGAGGAGAAGAUCUUCAACUGGUUUGAGAGGAUGAUCACUCAGUCUGGAAGUGAGACACGGUCCAGACUCAUACGGGAGGGCGGAGUGAGAAAUCUUCCAAAAUGGGAGAGAGUGUGAGGGCGCUGCGGCGCGUGGAGGGUGAAGGCAUUCGGGGUGUAAACUGCUUUUAUAAGUGGAAAUUAUGACGGUAACUUAUGAAUAAGCAUCGGCUAACUACGUG